CAGAAUCAGCUGGGAAAGAAGACCUUGUUGAGCUUAACUCUAGGCCAACUUUGUGAAAUAACUUGAGAGGUGUAGGAUAAGUUGGAGCAGAAAACAACUAAAGUGAAAUACCACUACCUUAACGUUAUUUUACUUAUUCCGUGAAUCGGAGGCGGGGCUCUGCCCCUCCUUUUGGUCCCAAGGUCAGCUUCAGUCGGUCAAUUCGGGCGGAAGACAUUGUUAGGUGGAGAGUUUGGCUUGGGCGGCACAUCUGUUAAAAGAUAACGUAAGUGUCCUAAGAUGAGCUCAAUGAGAAAAAAAAUCUCAUGUGGAACAAAUUGGUAAAAGCUCGUUUGAUUCUGAUUUCCAAUACGAAUACAAAUCGUGAAAGUGUGGCCUAUCGGUCCUUUAGUCCUUCAGAAUUUGAAGCUAGAGGUGUUAGAAAAGUUACCACAGGGAUAAAUGUCUUGUGACAGCUAAGCGUUCAUAGCGACGUUGCUUUUUGAUCUUCGAUGUCGGCUCUUCCAAUCAUUGUGAAGCAAAAUUCACCAAGUGUUGGAUUGUUCGCCCACCAAUAGGGAACGUGAGCUGGGUUUAGACCGUCGGGAGACAUGUUAGUUUUACCCUACUAAUGACAGUGUCGUAAUAGUAAUUCAACCUAGUACGAGAGGAAUCGUUGAUUCGCACAAUUGGUCAUCGCGCUUGAUCGAAAAGCCAGUGGAGCGUAGCUACCGUGCGUUGGAUUAUGACUGAACGCCUCUAAGUCAGAAUCCGGGCUAGAAGUGAUGCGUGUGCUUGUCGUUUGUUUGCAGACCAACAGUAGGGGGCCUUGCCCCUUAGAGGCACGUGCCCUUAGUGAACCUUGUAAGGUGAAUAAGCCUUAUGAUAUGCCUUAAAGUGCAAUUCCCAUUGAGCGUCGAGUAGAAUCCUUUGUAGACGACUUUGGUGUGGUUUUAUUGUAAAAACAAAUUUAUUUUUUUCAAAAAAAAAACAAAUUG
RNAcentral lists this non-coding RNA (977 nucleotides) under Vigna radiata var. radiata (mung bean). RNAcentral's name for it is "Eukaryotic large subunit ribosomal RNA". It matches the Rfam family "Eukaryotic large subunit ribosomal RNA", at positions 2389 to 3401 of the family's 3401-position model. The record is from Rfam by way of RNAcentral. Lineage: Eukaryota; Viridiplantae; Streptophyta; Magnoliopsida; Fabales; Fabaceae.